AUACUUACCUGGCAGGGGAGAUACCAUGAUCACGAAGGUGAUUUUCCCAGGGCGAGGCUUAUCCAUUGCACUCCGGAUGUGCUGACCCCUGCGAUUUCCCCAAAUGUGGGAAACUCGACUGCAUAAUUUGUGGUAGUGGGGGACUGCGUUCGCGCUUUCCCCUG
This 164-nucleotide small nuclear RNA is filed under the name Piliocolobus tephrosceles (Ugandan red Colobus). RNAcentral's name for it is "U1 spliceosomal RNA (ENSPTEG00000032553.1)". It matches the Rfam family "U1 spliceosomal RNA". Rfam says of the family: U1 is a small nuclear RNA (snRNA) component of the spliceosome (involved in pre-mRNA splicing). Its 5' end forms complementary base pairs with the 5' splice junction, thus defining the 5' donor site of an intron. Lineage: Eukaryota; Metazoa; Chordata; Mammalia; Primates; Cercopithecidae. The record is from Rfam by way of RNAcentral.